Molecule: long non-coding RNA, 521 nt
Filed under: Triticum aestivum (bread wheat)
Lineage: Eukaryota; Viridiplantae; Streptophyta; Magnoliopsida; Poales; Poaceae
Description: long non-coding RNA (TAES_LNC023068)
Source: RNAcentral
UAUGUCGCCCAUAAGCAUUACGUACACAAUAUAUGUGCUAGAGAAAACACAUCAAUACAAAAGCCACCUUCAGAUCAGAAGGCCAGCUGAACUACAACAUGACUCAGUACCCUCCACUUUUCACUUCUAUAGACAUAGUCGAGCUGAGCUAUCACCCACAAAGCCAGCCAUCUACUAGGAACUCCUUUUUUUGCAGGUGAGCCAUCUACUAGGGACUAUGUACUCACAGUAGGAUCCAAGCCGACAUGAACAUCCCACAAAUAAGUACUCACAUCCUCCACCUCAGAUCCUACUGUUAGAACAACCUCUACACCAGAGAACGAGCAUUGCCAUCUGAGGUGCUGUCCCCUGAGCUCCCUGACCCUGAUCCUGUAAACAGAGUCAAAUGUGAAACAUUGUAGGAAGUUUAAUUCAUGAAGAUUAAACGAUGUUUCUCAAAAAGGGGAAGAAUAAACAGUGGGUUCGGCAGUACCACUGGAUGACGAAGAUCCACUACCCGAACCACCAGAGACACUCAUGAC